RNAcentral lists this ribosomal RNA (222 nucleotides) under Triticum aestivum (bread wheat). RNAcentral's name for it is "partial small subunit ribosomal RNA". The record is from RNAcentral. Lineage: Eukaryota; Viridiplantae; Streptophyta; Magnoliopsida; Poales; Poaceae.
AUGAAUUGCUUUGUAUGGAACUGUCGGGGGGCGGGGAACUCCCGUACAAUUCGAGAUCUACAGUCUCUCUGUCGAGCCCAUUCCCCGAAGCUGGUGUUCUUAUGUGAAACAAGGCAACAAAAACACAAGAUGGCUAGGAUUCGUAAUCGUUUAGGCCUCAAAGGGUUUGCUGGAAUAAGUAGUCAAGGAAAGAGUGGUGGUUUAGCUUUGUUCUGGGAUGAA